UGUCCAGGAUUCGAUCGCCCUACGGGCAGUGGAGAUAGGGCAGCGCUCGACCCGGUGAGGUGGUGUGUGACCUUCGCCCCUCUGCUGACCUACGGAGGAAACCAUACCUACCCAGAGAGCUGUAAGCAGCAGAGCCGCGACCACCUGUGGAGAGAAAGAAGAACGAGAAUGAACAUUAGGAGAGUGGACUGUGUGGAGUUCCAGUCGGUGGUGAAGGAGGAGAGCCUAGAGUGUCCAUUAUUUUAAGUUCCCCGUUUUCCCUUCCCUAUUUAUUUUUUAAGUAAAUUAAAUAAAGUACAUUUUUAAUUUA
Paramisgurnus dabryanus is the source of this 310-nucleotide non-coding RNA. The record is from RefSeq and is a predicted model, not a curated record. Lineage: Eukaryota; Metazoa; Chordata; Actinopteri; Cypriniformes; Cobitidae.